Molecule: ribosomal RNA, 289 nt
Filed under: Salmonella enterica subsp. enterica serovar Agona str. SA-4
Lineage: Bacteria; Pseudomonadati; Pseudomonadota; Gammaproteobacteria; Enterobacterales; Enterobacteriaceae
Description: partial 23S ribosomal RNA
Rfam family: Bacterial large subunit ribosomal RNA
Source: RNAcentral
GCCGUGGGCGCUGGAGAACUGAGGGGGGCUGCUCCUAGUACGAGAGGACCGGAGUGGACGCAUCACUGGUGUUCGGGUUGUCAUGCCAAUGGCACUGCCCGGUAGCUAAAUGCGGAAGAGAUAAGUGCUGAAAGCAUCUAAGCACGAAACUUGCCCCGAGAUGAGUUCUCCCUGAGACUUAGAGUCUCCUGAAGGAACGUUGAAGACGACGACGUUGAUAGGCCGGGUGUGUAAGCGCAGCGAUGCGUUGAGCUAACCGGUACUAAUGAACCGUGAGGCUUAACCUUAC